Molecule: ribosomal RNA, 745 nt
Filed under: uncultured bacterium
Lineage: Bacteria
Description: bacterial SSU rRNA
Rfam family: Bacterial small subunit ribosomal RNA
Source: RNAcentral
ACGCUGGCGGCAGGCCUAACACAUGCAAGUCGAGCGGUGGAGAGGUGCUUGCACCUCUUGAGAGCGGCGGACGGGUGAGUAAUACCUAGGAAUCUGCCUGGUAGUGGGGGAUAACGUUCGGAAACGGACGCUAAUACCGCAUACGUCCUACGGGAGAAAGCAGGGGACCUUCGGGCCUUGCGCUAUCAGAUGAGCCUAGGUCGGAUUAGCUAGUUGGUGAGGUAAUGGCUCACCAAGGCUACGAUCCGUAACUGGUCUGAGAGGAUGAUCAGUCACACUGGAACUGAGACACGGUCCAGACUCCUACGGGAGGCAGCAGUGGGGAAUAUUGGACAAUGGGCGAAAGCCUGAUCCAGCCAUGCCGCGUGUGUGAAGAAGGUCUUCGGAUUGUAAAGCACUUUAAGUUGGGAGGAAGGGCAUUAACCUAAUACGUUAGUGCUUUGACGUUACCGACAGAAUAAGCACCGGCUAACUCUGUGCCAGCAGCCGCGGUAAUACAGAGGGUGCAAGCGUUAAUCGGAAUUACUGGGCGUAAAGCGCGCGUAGGUGGUUUGUUAAGUUGAAUGUGAAAUCCCCGGGCUCAACCUGGGAACUGCAUCCAAAACUGGCAAGCUAGAGUAUGGUAGAGGGUAGUGGAAUUUCCUGUGUAGCGGUGAAAUGCGUAGAUAUAGGAAGGAACACCAGGGGCGAAGGCGACUACCUGGACUGAUACUGACACUGAGGUGCGAAAGCGUGGGGAGCAAAC